UUGAACUCUUGAUGGUCCUGACUCCCAAGU
RNAcentral lists this non-coding RNA (30 nucleotides) under Mus musculus (house mouse). The record is from RNAcentral. Lineage: Eukaryota; Metazoa; Chordata; Mammalia; Rodentia; Muridae.